RNAcentral lists this ribosomal RNA (580 nucleotides) under uncultured eukaryote. RNAcentral describes it as "bacterial SSU rRNA". It matches the Rfam family "Eukaryotic small subunit ribosomal RNA", at positions 1 to 567 of the family's 1831-position model. The record is from RNAcentral.
CGCCAGUGGGGUGGAAUUUGCCCUUCUGGCAAUCCGCCCUGCAUUCAUAUGGUUUUAAGAAGAUUAAGCCAUGUAUUCUAAAUCAAGCCUAAAUAAAGUGCAAUCGCGAAUUUUCCCCCAUCAUCCAGGUUCGUUAGAUCGCAAUUAGUGCUCGGAUAACUUUCGUAAUUUUAGAGAUAAUUUCUUCGUUCGACUUCCCUCUUUUCAGUCAUGAGUUCUUUUUUUAGAUUAAAGCCAAUGGGGUCUUUGGGCUCGUUAAAUGGUGACUGAGAAGAAAUUCGCUGAUAGCAUGGUUUUGUACCGGCGACGCAUCUUUCAAGCGUCGUUCUUAUCAAUUGUCGAUGGUAGGUUCUGCGCCCACCAUGGUGUUAACGGGUAACGGGGAAUUAGGGUUAGAUUGCGGAGAGGGAGCCUCAGAAAUGGUUUCCACAUCCAAGGAAGGCAGCAGGAAGGCAAAUUCCUCAAUCCCAGCUCGGGGAGGUAGUGACGAAAAAUACGGAUCCGGGCUUCUUUAGAGGCUCAGUGUGGGCGUGGGUACUUUUUUUUCCUUCCCGGGGCUUUUUUCGCGGGCUUCUGGGGU